This 73-nucleotide transfer RNA is filed under the name Harpegnathos saltator (Jerdon's jumping ant). It matches the Rfam family "tRNA". From Rfam's summary of the family: Transfer RNA (tRNA) molecules are approximately 80 nucleotides in length. Their secondary structure includes four short double-helical elements and three loops (D, anti-codon, and T loops). Further hydrogen bonds mediate the characteristic L-shaped molecular structure. tRNAs have two regions of fundamental functional importance: the anti-codon, which is responsible for specific mRNA codon recognition, and the 3' end, to which the tRNAs corresponding amino acid is attached (by aminoacyl-tRNA synthetases). tRNAs cope with the degeneracy of the genetic code in two manners: having more than one tRNA (with a specific anti-codon) for a particular amino acid; and 'wobble' base-pairing, i.e. permitting non-standard base-pairing at the 3rd anti-codon position. Lineage: Eukaryota; Metazoa; Arthropoda; Insecta; Hymenoptera; Formicidae. The record is from Rfam by way of RNAcentral.
CGUCAGGUAGCUCAGUGGUCUAGAGCAGUCGCCGGGCAAGAGAAAGACCCGGGUUCGAUUCCCGGCCUAGCGC